Long non-coding RNA from Leopardus geoffroyi (Geoffroy's cat), 295 nucleotides. RefSeq lists it as uncharacterized. The transcript has 2 exons. Lineage: Eukaryota; Metazoa; Chordata; Mammalia; Carnivora; Felidae. The record is from RefSeq and is a predicted model, not a curated record.
GCCCUUGGCAACAGGUCAACCUGUUUCCAUGGCUCCUCCUGGCCCUGGCAUCAGCUGACUUUUUCUAGACGCAUCCCUCCUGGCUCAAGUGUCCUCCUCAGCCGCCCACUGCCCUCGUCUAAAACGGGAGACCCUUUGCAACCCGGUACCAGGAGAAGCAUGUUCUAGGCACAGAGCAGUUGGCGCUCACCAGGUAUUUGCCAGAUGGAAAUGAGCUGUACCUGAGAAAUCUGGGGAUCCAGGUGAAGUCUGUCUGUGGUCCCUCGUACUACCUGUGUAAUCUAUACCCUACUGC